UUGGAGGGCAAGUCUGGUGCCAGCAGCCGCGGUAAUUCCAGCUCCAAUAGCGUAUAUUAAAGUUGUUGCAGUUAAAAAGCUCGUAGUUGAAUUUCGGGGUUAGUAGAUUGGUCAUGCCAUCGGUAUGCACUGGUCUCACUGAUUCCUCCUUCCUGAUGAGCCGUAAUGCCAUUAAUUUGGUGUUGCGGGGAAUUUGGACUGUUACUUUGAAAAAAUUAGAGUGUUUAAAGCAAGCUAACGCUUGAAUACAUUAGCAUGGAAUAAUGAAAUAGGACGUUCGAUCCUAUUUUGUUGGUUUCUAGGAUUGACGUAAUGAUUAAUAGGGAUAGUUGGGGGCAUUAGUAUUCAAUUGUCAGAGGUGAAAUUCUUGGAUUUAUUGAAGACUAACUACUGCGAAAGCAUUUGCCAAGGAUGUUUUCAUUAAUCAAGAACGAAAGUUAGGGGAUCGAAGACGAUCAGAUACCGUCGUAGUCUUAACCAUAAACUAUGCCGACUAGGGAUCGGAUGAUGUUAAUUUUUUAAUGACUCAUUCGGCGCCUUACGGGAAAC
Molecule: ribosomal RNA, 549 nt
Filed under: uncultured Glomeromycotina
Lineage: Eukaryota; Fungi; Glomeromycota
Description: SSU rRNA
Rfam family: Eukaryotic small subunit ribosomal RNA
Source: RNAcentral